Molecule: long non-coding RNA, 1379 nt
Organism: Musa acuminata AAA Group (dessert banana)
Lineage: Eukaryota; Viridiplantae; Streptophyta; Magnoliopsida; Zingiberales; Musaceae
Exons: 3
Source: RefSeq, a predicted model, not a curated record
CGCACGUCUCUCUCGAUCUCAUCGGCAUUCGCGUCGGUCGUCCCGCUGCGCUUCACACACAUACACUCUCUCUCUCUCUUGCCUUUCUCGUAAACGUAAAAGAAAAAGCGAGCAGAGAGAGGGGGUGAGAGAGAGGGAGAGAGAGAGAGAGAGAGAGACAGAAGCAGAGAAAAGAACAAGAAAAAGGAAUAGAGGAGACAGACUCGAAAGCAGAAAUAACAGCUGACACUCUUUCUUUGCCCCCCUCCCUUCCUCUCUCUCCUCUAUUUAUUUUCUCCCCCACCCUUUGUCUCCGUCACUCACCAGAGAUCCCAACCAAAGGAGAGAGGAGCAAGAAAACAGAGAAAGAAGCAAAGAGAAGAGGUGGGACGGACUCACCAGGGUCUCUUCCGGAAUGUGGUCAGCCCUCGGGACCUCUCCUUCCCCAACAAGGAGGAGGAGGAGGAAAAGGUACCAAGAUGAUGGUGAUCCAGGCAACAACAAUGUGCUCCUGCAAUAAGACACCAAAUUCUCUAGUCCUUUUGAUUCUAUUAGUCAACAUGAAUUAGAUAAGGACAUGCUUGGAGAACUAGGGAAUGAAGCCAUUGGUCCGCAAGACAUAAAUAUUUUGGGUCAUUAUAAAUGACAUUUCUCAUCUCUAUUUCUAGUUCAGUUCAAUGACAUUCAGUUCAGUUCAAUUCUCUUCCUUGUUGGUAUUUACCUAGGUUUAUACUUCAGUUCAAUUCUCUUCUUGGGAGAUGAAUGUUGACAGGUAGCAACAUAUAUCUUCACAAAAAACCAAGGUAGAAUUCGGCCAUAAAUUCUAUUCAGAGCAAAAACACUUACUACACAUGCCUUUACAAUUUGAUUUGGUGCAUGUACUUCUUAUUUGUAUGAAUGAACGAACAUGCACAUCUCCAACUUGCAGGGUUUGCAUGUGUGUAUCUUCUGCUAAUGCCAUCAGAGAAAAUCAACAAACAAGUCCAAUCUAAUGUAAAUGUUUUGUUACCUCAAAAUAUGUAGCUGUGGCAACUUGAGACGUAUAAUUAUCUGUUGUUAUCUCAACAUAUAUUUCCUGAGACAAAUGCAUAUACAAAGCUGUGUUGUUGAGAACUGUAGGUAACAAUUGUUGUAGAGUGUCUUAGUCAAUACAAGAGAUUUGUUAACUCACCUUCAUGCAAGUACAAGCAUCUACAGCUUCUGGUGACCAAGGGCUUCAUGACCUCUUUGACAAUCCACCACAGCAUGCAAAAUCCAAUUGAUUGUCAGGUUCCUUUCAAGUGAGAGUUCUGAGUCAUUGAUCAGAUAAUACUUGCAGAGACAACAAAAGAUGGUGUAGACUGCAAAAUCCAAUUGAUUGUCAGGUUCCUUUCAAGUGAGAGUUCUGAGUCAUUGAUCAG